RNAcentral lists this ribosomal RNA (253 nucleotides) under uncultured bacterium. RNAcentral's name for it is "partial 16S ribosomal RNA". It matches the Rfam family "Bacterial small subunit ribosomal RNA", at positions 524 to 776 of the family's 1533-position model. The record is from RNAcentral.
UACGAAGAGGGCUAGCGUUGUUCGGAAUCACUGGGCGUAAAGCGCACGUAGGUGGACAGUUAAGUCAGGGGUGAAAGCCCGAGGCACAACCUCGGAAUUGCCUCUGAUACUGGCUGUCUAGAGUCAGAGAGAGGUGGGUGAAAUUUCUAGUGUAGAGGUGAAAUUCGUAGAUAUUAGGAGGAACACCGGUGGCGAAGGCGGCCCACUGUCUCGGUACUUACACUGAGGUGCGAAAGCGUGGGGAGCAAGCAGG